GACGAACGCUGGCGGCGUGCUUAACACAUGCAAGUCGAGCGGAAAGGCCCUUCGGGGUACUCGAGCGGCGAACGGGUGAGUAACACGUGAGUAACCUGUCCUUGGCUUUGGGAUAACCCUCGGAAACGGGGGCUAAUACCGGAUAUGACCCUUGUCUGCAUGGGUGGGGGUGGAAAGUUUUUCGGCUAGGGGUGGGCUCGCGGCCUAUCAGCUUGUUGGUGGGGUGAUGGCCUACCAAGGCGACGACGGGUAGCCGGCCUGAGAGGGCGACCGGCCACACUGGGACUGAGACACGGCCCAGACUCCUACGGGAGGCAGCAGUGGGGAAUAUUGCACAAUGGGCGGAAGCCUGAUGCAGCGACGCCGCGUGAGGGAUGACGGCCUUCGGGUUGUAAACCUCUUUCAGCAGGGACGAAGCGCAAGUGACGG
This 429-nucleotide ribosomal RNA is filed under the name Micromonosporaceae bacterium Ellin7170. RNAcentral describes it as "bacterial SSU rRNA". It matches the Rfam family "Bacterial small subunit ribosomal RNA", at positions 28 to 475 of the family's 1533-position model. The record is from RNAcentral. Lineage: Bacteria; Bacillati; Actinomycetota; Actinomycetes; Micromonosporales; Micromonosporaceae.